CCUACGGGUGGCAGCAGUGGGGAAUAUUGGACAAUGGGCGAAAGCCUGAUCCAGCCAUGCCGCGUGUGUGAAGAAGGUCUUCGGAUUGUAAAGCACUUUAAGCUGGGAGGAAGGGCAUUAACCUAAUACGUUGGUGUCUUGACGUUACCGACAGAAUAAGCACCGGCUAACUCUGUGCCAGCAGCCGCGGUAAUACAGAGGGUGCAAGCGUUAAUCGGAAUUACUGGGCGUAAAGCGCGCGUAGGUGGUUUGUUAAGUUGAAUGUGAAAUCCCCGGGCUCAACCUGGGAACUGCAUCCAAAACUGGCAAGCUAGAGUAUGGUAGAGGGUAGUGGAAUUUCCUGUGUAGCGGUGAAAUGCGUAGAUAUAGGAAGGAACACCAGUGGCGAAGGCGACUACCUGGACUGAUACUGACACUGAGGUGCGAAAGCGUGGGGAGCAAACAGGAUUAGAUACCCCUGUAGUC
This 465-nucleotide ribosomal RNA is filed under the name uncultured Pseudomonas sp. RNAcentral's name for it is "bacterial SSU rRNA". It matches the Rfam family "Bacterial small subunit ribosomal RNA", at positions 338 to 795 of the family's 1533-position model. The record is from RNAcentral. Lineage: Bacteria; Pseudomonadati; Pseudomonadota; Gammaproteobacteria; Pseudomonadales; Pseudomonadaceae.